CCUACGGGUGGCAGCAGUGGGGAAUAUUGCACAAUGGGGGAAACCCUGAUGCAGCGACGCCGCGUGAGUGAAGAAGUAAUUCGGUAUGUAAAGCUCUAUCAGCAGGGAAGAAAAUGACGGUACCUGAGUAAGAAGCCCCGGCUAACUACGUGCCAGCAGCCGCGGUAAUACGUAGGGGGCAAGCGUUAUCCGGAUUUACUGGGUGUAAAGGGAGCGUAGACGGCAGCGCAAGUCUGGAGUGAAAGGCGGGGGCUCAACCCCCGGACUGCUCUGGAAACUGUACGGCUAGAGUGCAGGAGAGGUAAGUGGAAUUCCUAGUGUAGCGGUGAAAUGCGUAGAUAUCACGCAGAACUCCGAUUGCGAAGGCAGCUUACUAGGCCGUAACUGACGCUGAGGCACGAAAGCGUGGGGAUCAAACAGGAUUAGAUACCCUUGUAGUC
Molecule: ribosomal RNA, 440 nt
Filed under: uncultured bacterium
Lineage: Bacteria
Description: partial 16S ribosomal RNA
Rfam family: Bacterial small subunit ribosomal RNA
Source: RNAcentral